GGUUGUGUAGUGUAGUGGUUAUCACUUUGGAUUUUGAUUUGAGCGGCUUAAUUCACCGUUCUCAUAACUAUUCCAAUAACCCCGGUUCGAACCCGGGCACGACCU
Podospora didyma is the source of this 105-nucleotide non-coding RNA. The record is from the annotation of a GenBank genome assembly. NCBI's taxonomy places the organism in Eukaryota, Fungi, Ascomycota, Sordariomycetes, Sordariales, Podosporaceae.